CCUACGGGAGGCUGCAGUGGGGAAUUUUGGACAAUGGGGGGAACCCUGAUCCAGCCAUGCCGCGUGCGGGAAGAAGGCCUUCGGGUUGUAAACCGCUUUUGUCAGGGAAGAAAUUGUCCGGGCUAAUACCCUGGGCCGAUGACGGUACCUGAAGAAUAAGCACCGGCUAACUACGUGCCAGCAGCCGCGGUAAUACGUAGGGUGCAAGCGUUAAUCGGAAUUACUGGGCGUAAAGCGUGCGCAGGCGGUCCUGUAAGACAGAGGUGAAAUCCCCG
This 275-nucleotide ribosomal RNA is filed under the name uncultured bacterium. RNAcentral describes it as "partial 16S ribosomal RNA". It matches the Rfam family "Bacterial small subunit ribosomal RNA", at positions 338 to 605 of the family's 1533-position model. The record is from RNAcentral.